Non-coding RNA from Russula brevipes, 85 nucleotides. Lineage: Eukaryota; Fungi; Basidiomycota; Agaricomycetes; Russulales; Russulaceae. The record is from the annotation of a GenBank genome assembly.
GGUUCAGUGGUCUAAUGGUUAUGAUUUCUGUCUCACAUUGUGAACUGAACACAGAAGGUUCCCGGUUCGAUCCCGGGCUGAACCA